CCGAGGGGGGGGCCCCUUUUCCCCCACGGGGGGGUGGGGCCCCGGAUCUUCCCACCCAUGUUGACCGUACCACGUUGCUUCGGCGGGGACGCCUGCCGGAGGGGUUCCGAAUUAACCGCUGUUCUGUCUCAAGGAUGUGUCUGAGUCGGGCUGGAUGACACCGGCCAAAUCGAAGCGAACA
This 181-nucleotide unclassified non-coding RNA is filed under the name uncultured Eurotiales. RNAcentral describes it as "sequence contains ITS1". The record is from RNAcentral. Lineage: Eukaryota; Fungi; Ascomycota; Eurotiomycetes; Eurotiales.